UGGGGAAUUUUGGACAAUGGGCGAAAGCCUGAUCCAGCAAUGCCGCGUGUGUGAAGAAGGCCUUCGGGUUGUAAAGCACUUUUGUCCGGAAAGAAAUCCUUGGCUCUAAUACAGUCGGGGGAUGACGGUACCGGAAGAAUAAGCACCGGCUAACUACGUGCCAGCAGCCGCGGUAAUACGUAGGGUGCAAGCGUUAAUCGGAAUUACUGGGCGUAAAGCGUGCGCAGGCGGUUUGCUAAGACCGAUGUGAAAUCCCCAGGCUCAACCUGGGAACUGCAUUGGUGACUGGCAGGCUAGAGUAUGGCAGAGGGGGGUAGAAUUCCACGUGUAGCAGUGAAAUGCGUAGAGAUGUGGAGGAAUACCGAUGGCGAAGGCAGCCCCCUGGGCCAAUACUGACGCUCAUGCACGAAAGCGUGGGGAGCAAACAGGAUUAGAUACCCUGGUAGUCCACGCCCUAAACGAUGUCAACUAGUUGUUGGGGAUUCAUUUCCUUAGUAACGUAGCUAACGCGUGAAGUUGACCGCCUGGGGAGUACGGUCGCAAGAUUAAAACUCAAAGGAAUUGACGGGGUCAUAGCUGUUUCCU
Molecule: ribosomal RNA, 585 nt
Filed under: uncultured bacterium
Lineage: Bacteria
Description: partial 16S ribosomal RNA
Rfam family: Bacterial small subunit ribosomal RNA
Source: RNAcentral